Molecule: long non-coding RNA, 328 nt
Organism: Poecilia latipinna (sailfin molly)
Lineage: Eukaryota; Metazoa; Chordata; Actinopteri; Cyprinodontiformes; Poeciliidae
Exons: 3
Source: RefSeq, a predicted model, not a curated record
UUCCUUCUCUGUUUUCAGAAACAGUGAACGGCCUCUUUGCAGAUAAUCUGGUGAAAUUCCACUUCAGAUUUUAAAUUGUUUUCAAAACUUACCUCCUUUUUGACCUAAAAUCUUUUGUCUUCGUCAGUUUCAGUAACAGUUUCUUGUUUACGUCAUGGAUGACUUUGUUUGCAAGAUAUUAAAUGACUGGGGCCUAAGCGAGUGGAUAGAAACAUUUAGAGAACACGGCAUUGACAAGAAAAAUCUGUACUGCCUCGAGGAUCAAGACAUUGAAAAAUUGUUUUCCAAAGUGGGACCAAGAGCACAUUUCAGAAAGAAACUGAAACUG